Molecule: ribosomal RNA, 529 nt
Filed under: Bifidobacterium dentium
Lineage: Bacteria; Bacillati; Actinomycetota; Actinomycetes; Bifidobacteriales; Bifidobacteriaceae
Description: bacterial SSU rRNA
Rfam family: Bacterial small subunit ribosomal RNA
Source: RNAcentral
UGGUAAUGCCGGAUGCUCCGGUUGGAUGCAUGUCCUUCCGGGAAAGAUUCUAUCGGUAUGGGAUGGGGUCGCGUCCUAUCAGCUUGAUGGCGGGGUAACGGCCCACCAUGGCUUCGACGGGUAGCCGGCCUGAGAGGGCGACCGGCCACAUUGGGACUGAGAUACGGCCCAGACUCCUACGGGAGGCAGCAGUGGGGAAUAUUGCACAAUGGGCGCAAGCCUGAUGCAGCGACGCCGCGUGCGGGAUGGAGGCCUUCGGGUUGUAAACCGCUUUUGAUCGGGAGCAAGCCCUUCGGGGUGAGUGUACCUUUCGAAUAAGCACCGGCUAACUACGUGCCAGCAGCCGCGGUAAUACGUAGGGUGCAAGCGUUAUCCGGAAUUAUUGGGCGUAAAGGGCUCGUAGGCGGUUCGUCGCGUCCGGUGUGAAAGCCCAUCGCUUAACGGUGGGUCUGCGCCGGGUACGGGCGGGCUGGAGUGCGGUAGGGGAGACUGGAAUUCCCGGUGUAACGGUGGAAUGUGUAGAUAUCGG